CCUACGGGAGGCAGCAGUGGGGAAUUUUGGACAAUGGGCGCAAGCCUGAUCCAGCAAUGCCGCGUGAGUGAAGAAGGCCUUCGGGUUGUAAAGCUCUUUUGUCAGGGAAGAAACGGCAUGCUCUAAUACAGUGUGCUAAUGACGGUACCUGAAGAAUAAGCACCGGCUAACUACGUGCCAGCAGCGCGGUAAU
RNAcentral lists this ribosomal RNA (193 nucleotides) under uncultured bacterium. RNAcentral describes it as "partial 16S ribosomal RNA". It matches the Rfam family "Bacterial small subunit ribosomal RNA", at positions 338 to 524 of the family's 1533-position model. The record is from RNAcentral.